AUUGAACGCUGGCGGCAGGCUUAACACAUGCAAGUCGUGCGGAGUGAUGGUGCUUGCACUAUCACUUAGCGGCGGACGGGUGAGUAAUGCUUAGGAAUCUGCCUAUUAGUGGGGGACAACAUCUCGAAAGGGAUGCUAAUACCGCAUACGUCCUACGGGAGAAAGCAGGGGAUCACUUGUGACCUUGCGCUAAUAGAUGAGCCUAAGUCGGAUUAGCUAGUUGGUGGGGUAGAGGCCUACCAAGGCGACGAUCUGUAGCGGGUCUGAGAGGAUGAUACGCCACACUGGGACUGAGACACGGCCCAGACUCCUACGGGAGGCAGCAGUGGGGAAUAUUGGACAAUGGGGGGAACCCUGAUCCAGCCAUGCCGCGUGUGUGAAGAAGGCCUUAUGGUUGUAAAGCACUUUAAGCGAGGAGGAGGCUCUUUUGGUUAAUACCCAAGAUGAGUGGACGUUACUCGCAGAAUAAGCACCGGCUAACUCUGUGCCAGCCGCCGCGGUAA
RNAcentral lists this ribosomal RNA (503 nucleotides) under uncultured bacterium. RNAcentral describes it as "partial 16S ribosomal RNA". It matches the Rfam family "Bacterial small subunit ribosomal RNA", at positions 30 to 523 of the family's 1533-position model. The record is from RNAcentral.